CAAAAAGUAAAAUAUUUAGGUAGUAUUAGAUGGCUUGAAACUUAAAAAUUUUGGCGGUGUUUUAAUCUUAUCAGAGGAACCUGUUUUAUAAUCGAUAAUACACGGCAAAUCUCACUUAAAUAAAUAGUUUGUAUAUCGUUGUGAUAAUAAUGUUUUAUAAUUAUUAUUGAAGAUAAUUUUAUUUUUAAUAUCAAAUCAAGGUUCAGCUUAUGUUUAAGUAAGGAAUGGGUUACAAUGUGAUAACACAUUACAGAUUUUGUCUCUAAGAAAUAAAUGAAGGGGGAUUUGAAAGUAUUUUUAUAUUAAUUUAUUAAAUUGAAUUAGCUCUAAAACAUGC
RNAcentral lists this ribosomal RNA (337 nucleotides) under Centruroides chamulaensis. Its description in RNAcentral is "partial 12S ribosomal RNA". The record is from RNAcentral. Lineage: Eukaryota; Metazoa; Arthropoda; Arachnida; Scorpiones; Buthidae.